CUGGUAAGCACUAAAUAGUUCUCUUUGACCAUGUGUUUGUUUAACAGAUAUAUUUUUGAUUGAAAAUAUAUAGUGCAUGCGUGCGUAUAAUUUUUGUUAAGGUCCAACAUCUUUCUCUGUUGGAGGCACUUUCCUCAGGCGCCACCUGGCCGCACCCACUGCGGUUUCCUCCCAGGACAAUUCUAGGACUUCGGCCUUUGCUUCUUGUAUCAGCCUGUGGUGCCGCAGACAGGCACGAGGUGUUCACUUGACAACUCUGAUAAUCACACACCAUCAGAGAUGUUGUGGUGUGGUUGAGUAAAUGACCUCCAGGGCUACUGAAAACUCUGAAAUUCUACACAUCUACGACUUCAUUAACAUUUUCUUACUUUCCAGAGGAAAGAAAGGGGCACUAACAUUUUGGGGCAUCUACGAAGUGGCAGUUGCCUUCCCAACAAUGUGAGGCACAUGAUUAUUCACAAUCAGCAUUGGUGAUUUAAUCUUGUUUAAAAAGGGGAAAAGAAAAUACCUUAAAUUUACAUAAUUCCAAAGAUGUUACCUAUUCUAAAAGAGUGCAGAGUCAAUGGGUUCUCAGUAAAAGCAGGAGUAGUUACUUCGGUUUUUCUAGAUUUUCUGGCGUCGGGGCUGAUGAACAGAGAGCAUGGGAGUAGAUGGGAGAGGGGCCAGGUGCUGGCUUGCAGGGCCAGUGAGCGCGAAGGGUAGGAGGCCUGCCUGCUCCGCGGGCCCCGCAGACCGGCCCUGGCAGAGGCUGGGCUUGGAGAGGCACUGAUGAGGCCGGACCCAUGGGGCCUGGACCCCCGGGAGGAGCCUUCCCGGGAGAUGUGGACAAACAGCCUGGUGAUUUGAGUUGAAAGUUUAAAAUGAGAGUCCCUAAGUUUCAUUUGUCAGUUUUAACUGAAUUAAUUCUGAGAAAAUAGAUAUUCUUGUACACAUAGAAUAAAUAUAAUGCGUGAAACAUUUAUUUAUUUUUGGCUGCUUCUAGCUUUCUUUUGAAGGAUCACUACUAACACAAAGAAGCAUGUCAAACUAUUUUGAAUUCUUUAUGGAUCACUGUUAGCUCUUCAGCAGCAGAAUCCAGAGAGGCGGUAAAGAGCAAGGAAGCCAGUAUUUUGGACAUCUCUGUUCACAUCUCAUCUUUCUAUUUGACUCAACUUUUCCUGUCAGUUUUUAUUUUCCCACAUCUACACCAGUGACAGUGCUAAUUGUUUCUGAAUUGUAGACAGCUACGACCUAAGAGCGUUCCCUAAACACCGACAUUAUUGUUACCGCUUGUCAGACGAGGUUUGAGCCCCUCAGAAUACGAAUUGCAUCAUAAGCAGGCGCUCAGGCAUCAGCGCAGGGCAGGGCCAGGCGGGCCCGCAGGUGGAGGGAGGCGCUCUCCUGCAUGCAGGACACGGUGUGGCUUUUGGACGCUACGACAAUCUUGAAGUCUCGCUCAUGAAAAUAACGGGCCAGGAAACAUCCACCCAGAAAGCCUGGAGGGUGAGCAAUUACCCUUAUUCAAACUUCCUGCUGUAAACGCGUGUGCUCACAGUUCCAUUUCUAUUUCAUGUAAUGCCUCAGAGCUGAAAGGAUCUUGUACAAGUGAUGAGCCUGGUGAAGCUUUAAAAAAAAAUCCCCUAUCAUAUUGCCUUAUCAAAAUUGAGGGAAAGCAUUUUCAGGGUGAAAUCAGGAAGGCUACUGUAACUAAAGCGCAUUGCUUUAACUACAAAAAUGCAAGUUUUCCUAGGACUCGUAGACAAACAUGAAAUUUUGUUGGGACAUAAGAGCAGCUGCUCUCCAGCUCUUUAAUAUGCAUGCCAUCCAGCCUUCCAUUUGUCCAUCCGUCCUGCCACUGAUCCAUCAGUUCAUCCUUGCAGCCACCCAACCAUGCAUGCAAUACUUCCCGAACACCAGCUCUAGAGCAGGCUGAAGAGCAAACGAAUUGGCCCGAUCCCUGCCCGGCGGUCUCACCAUUUGGUGGAGACCAUGAGAAAGGCAAGUGCAACACAGUGGAGUUAACCCUGGGGAGGGAUGAGUGAUGGUGUGGUGGGGGCACACGGGGUGUGAUGUGUGGGAAAACCUGGCCCACUGGAGAGGGCAGGAAGACUGUCCCAGACCCAGAGAAGGGAGGACCGCCAGGAGUUGGCCAGGAAUCGCAGAGGCAAGGUAGAGGGAAAGGAAGAGGGAACAGCAUGGGCUAAGGCCAGGGGAGGGCGUGUCCCAUUUGGGCAACUGAAAGCGGCCGUGGAUGCCCUCCAGGUCACUGCUCUGUCCUCUUCUUUCAGCGACAGACAGUGAGUUAUUUCCUAAACUGCAUUCUGAUGAAAUCAAGAACUCUUUCUCCUCUUCUGCCAAGGGGCUACCGUGCUGGGUUCUCCCUCAGCUUCUUGUCCUCAUUUCUUUGCUUUCAUCAGCUCAAAGACGUCUGGGAAGCAGUACUUUCAGCUCACCCUGUGAUCCCCACCCUAGCUAUUCUUCUGGUAUCUGGAGUCCACUCCAGAGCAGUGAGUUGGCCCCUGAAAUACUCACACUGUGACAGGAGGUGAGCUCCCCACGAGGUGCACAGAUGUAUCUCAAUCACACCAAUUCCGCUUAACAAUACAACCAAAAUGAGAACAUAAUAAACAAUUACUGUAAGACACACUACUAGAAUCCCAAGCCAUGUCAGCCAAAUAAAAGACAUUAAUUAGACAGUGAAGAUACCCUCUAAGUAAAGGAAGUCGAAGGAGAUAAACCAUUUAUUGGCACUGGGAUCAACAGAUUCUAAAUUAGCUGCAAAACCCCGGCAAAAAGGACCUAAACAUCACUGCUGUCAUUAUUUGUCCUCGAGGGGCCCUCAGAGGGCUUGCUGCUCUCUGGGACUGUUACUGUGGGUAGUUGAGACGUCUCCGGCGUGGGUGGCGGAGGCCGCGGCAGGGGGCCUCCUGAGGCUAGAUGGCUGUCUGACAGGGAAGGUGAGGCGAAGGCACGCAGAAGCCAGGCGAAGGGCCUGCAGCUCCUCAGGGCCUGCGACCCCUGUCCCGCCCCACAGUCCGCUCUUUCCUCCCUGCCUCUCUUUGAAGUCUUGAGCCCAGAGACAGAAGAGGGGAUGGGUGCUGGGAGGCAGCUGUGUGCCGCCUUCGCUUGAGCUCCCAGCAGCCGGGAGCCUAGGACAGAGGCUGGAGACAAAGGUGGUCAGGUCCUCUAUUCAUCCUCCGUACCAGAAAUCUAAUAGUGUUGUUGCACAACGUGAGCGUGGAGUUAGGCUCAGAAAGAGGGCAGGCUGCUCUGAGGCAGUAAGCGCCAUUAUUGCCAUUGCAGCAUGUCGCGCGCUAUACACAUUGUGGCCCACUUGUGCACGGGCCCCUCCAGGUGGGAAAGAGUUCACAACGAUUAAAGUGAUGUUCUCCGAGUCUGCAUGUCUGCCAAGAACCCAUGGUUCACUGUCUGGUUAAUGGCACACAUUUUUAUCUUCUUAUUGCUAAGACUACACUUUUAAAAUCAGUCAGCUUUACUGAGGUAUAACUAACUCAGAAUAAAACCCACACAUUUCCCAUGUACAGGUCGGUGACUUUGAUGAGGCAGACACCAUGCAACCACCACCCAACAAUGACACACAACAUCCCUGUCGUUGCCAGAAGGUCCUUGUGCCCCUUUGUCAUCAACCUGCCUGCCGGGCCCGUUCGGAUGGCUGGGAUGGAUCCCGCCUGCCCGGCUCUCGUGGGAAUGGUCACCACAGGCGUCCUGGGAUCCGCUGCCUUUCAGUGGACACAACAGCUGCGGCGCCCGCUCUGUGAACGUCCACACUUUGCUCCUCUGUAUUGCUGAAUAGUAUUCCAGGUACUGCUUCAGCACGAUGUUCAUCCAUUCACUCAUCUGAUUUCUUUGUGCUAAAAUUACAUUUAAAAAAUGGUUUUUGGUAGUUUCCUGGACCUGGGCAGUCCUGACCUCACAUUUGAUGUAGGCGACUAAAAUAUCAAGGUUCCAAAAGGGACUUUUCCCCGGCAAGUCUGUCUAGACGCUCCCAGAGGAGGACCGUGGGCUCAGCCAGCUUCACGUCUGGCCACCACAGCAGUUUUCAAGGCAGCAACCUGGACACGCUUCUGAAUGCUUCCAUGGAGCUGUCCCCUUUGACAGGCUCCCUGUGAGCCCCUCCCCAGCCCCCUGCUGGGGGUCGCCACAGAGAUGCUACAAGUAAGUUCUGAGGAUCCGCAAAUAAACCCGCAGCCCCUUCCCACACCAGCGGCGAGCAUGGCCAGAAGGGAAGGGUCGAGGGGGAGAAAAACGAUGGCAUUUGCCCAGAGCUAACCCCAGUGGACGCUUUUCAAAAAGUCACUUCAGAAAGAUUGAUGGCGUGUUGAAAACAGCAGCCUGUUUGUCAUUAUAAAUAAUCACCCUCACCAAAAUUCCUCUGUCCUAAGAUGUGUUUAUGCUCACAUACAGAUUCGGCUCAGAGGACAAACAAACACAGCGCAUGCGUGUGGCCUCGACUUCUGAGGACGCUGUGGUUCCUCCUCCCAGCCUGGGAGUGAACGUGUGUGUCCAGGGAGGUGGGGCGCAGGGCUAGGUGGUGGGCGUGGUUUCUCUCGUCCCCCCUGGCAAACUGCUGCAAGGAGCCACCUCUCCACUCAGAGGUUCCCCCUCUGUUCGGGAAAGCCGCAGCCUUUUAUGCCCUCAUCUGAGGAAAAGCAGGGCGUGCCUAAGAGAAUCUUCCCUGGAUUUCGUCAGGCGUCUGCACUGUGGGAGCAGAGCCCUCAGGUGUGUUGCUGAAGGCAGAUGUCCGGUCUCUUAGCUUACUGAGGGUAUUUGUGGAGGUGUACCCAGCUCCAGGCCCAGGCCGUGUUCGUACACACAUUCUUGUUUACUCCUCCAAAAGCCAUGAGGCAGGCACUUACUAUUCCCCAUUUAACUUGCUGAGCCUAUAGAGGCUCAGAGAGGUUGAGUGACUUGCCUGAGGUCACACAGACAGAGGUAGGAGAGCUGGGGUACAAAUCUAGAUCUGCUCCACUUUCUACCAUUCUACCCAGCCUUGGGAACCGGGCUCUCGGGAGCCACAGAGAGAGGCUAGAGAUGGCUGGAAGAGGAGAGAGUGAGAAGGCAAGUCAGUAGAGGAGGCCGGGGUCAGUGCAAUGUGGCCUUGGUUUCACCUAACUUCUGAGGACCCGUGAGAGUUGGAUAAUUCUUUACAAGGCCAAGCGAACCACAAGGAGCCAGGCGACGGCAGGAGUCAGCGUCCUCCGUGGCAGCCUCACUUCGUGGGUCCGUCCCGCCCCCACACCCAGGGCGUUUGAAGAUUCCUGGAGCCAUUUGGUUCCAGUAGGUUCCUGUUGUCCCCUCUCCGCUUUCAACAUCACGCCAGCUCCACGGACGCUUAACUCCCAGGCACACCCGUGGCCGUUUGGAUGCCCACGAAGAGUUCCUGCCCUGAGAAGUGUGAGGGCAGGGCGCGGAGAAAAUCCAACAGCAGCAACAGCGAUGUCUGCACGCGGCCAGUCUCUUAAGGCGGAGCGGCAGGAUUUUGUUCGUGUGUGUGUGUGUUCAUGGGCACACGGGCUGGGCCCUGCUCCCGAUCCUGGCAUCAGAGCAUCCCCUCCUGCUGCCGCACGAGUCUUUCAUGGAGCAGGUGACCCGGAUGUUGCAGGCUAUAAAUAACCAUUAAAUGUCCCUUUCGGAGAGGCCCUUUUUUCCCUUGAAUUCGAGUCUCAGCAUGAAGCAAGUAACUUGUAAAUUUGGAUCCUUUCUGUCAAACUCAGGGUCUUGUUCUACCGGUUUGAAAGAGGAUUCAUUCUGCUGUUCCCUUCUCAAGUAGAGUAUAGGAAAGCCUGGAGGAAGGCGAGCUUAGCAGAGGCACCUUGCAGCUCCCCCCGAGAACACCCGCUGGAGAAACGAAGAGCAUUGGUAUCGCUCCGCGCGUGGGGAUCGUUGAGGUUGGGAUAAAACCUCUUAUUCAUGGUGUAAUUUGUUCUUCACGUGGUUAAAUUACACAUUAAUACGACAGGGGUUAUGUUGUAAUUACACCACACUCCUCCCCCCGCCCUGUGCCUUUCUUCAAGAGGAGGGAGCUGAGUCAGUGCGGAGCCCUGAAUACCCUUUUUCAAGAGACGCUGAAAGCAGUGGCACUGCCCCAGCGGAGGCAGGCAGCGACUAGUCUGAACCGUCCAGAAUCAACACGAGGAGUCGCACGGGGUGGGAGUGCUGGCUCCCGGGCUCAGCCCGAUUGCUGAACGCGGUUUUCGGAGCAAAGACCCAGGCGUCUCUUCCUUGGCUGCGCAUGGAGUGACAGCACUGCUGGCGUCCGCUCCCGGCUGGGGCGACAGGAGCUGACAAGGACCAUCACCCCAGUGAGCCCAGUGCCGCAGCGUGUGAAGACACCAUUUACUGGGUGUUCCAUGGAUGGAUUUCAUGCCUCUAGCGGUUUGAAUGCCAGUUAUUCCCAUGCCAAGAGCCCUAAGAUGAUGCCAAAGUAUUCGGAACUAGAGUAUGCUGAUAUUAAAAUUAAAGAAAUACAUUUAAAGCCUAGAAA
Long non-coding RNA from Equus caballus (horse), 6484 nucleotides. RefSeq lists it as uncharacterized. NCBI's taxonomy places the organism in Eukaryota, Metazoa, Chordata, Mammalia, Perissodactyla, Equidae. The record is from RefSeq and is a predicted model, not a curated record.